AAGUCUGUUGUAAAGCCCUGGGCCUCAACUGGGGAACGCAGGGAUAGUGGGCGUCCCGACUUUGGUAGAGUGUAGCGCAAUUCCUGUCGUAGCAGUUAAAUGCGUAGAGAUCAGGAGAAACAUCCAUGGCGAAGGCAGCUACCUGGACCAACAUUGACACUGAGGCAAGAAAGCGUGGGGGAGCAAACAGGAUUAGAUACCUUGGUAGUCCACGCCGUAACAGAUGCAUAUCUGGAUGUUGGGUGCAAUUUGGCACGCAGUAUCGAAUCUAACGCGUUAAGUUCGCUGCCUGGGGAGUACGGUCGCAAGAGUGAACCUCAAAGAAUUUGACGGGGGCCCGCACAAGCGGCGGAGUAUGUCGUUUAAUUAAAUGAAACGCGAAGAACCUUACCUGGCCUUGACAUGUCGAGAACUUUCCAGAGAUGGAUUGGUGCCUUCGGGAACUCGAACACAGGUGAUGCAUGGCUGUCGUCAGCUUUUGUUGCGAGAUGGUGGGUUAAGUCCCGCAAAGAGGCCAACCCCUGUCAUUUUUUUCCAGCACGUAAUGGUGGGAACUGUAAGGCCACCACCGGUGACAACCUGGAGGACGGUGGGGAUGACGUCAAGUCAUCAUGGUCCCCAGGGCCAGGGCUACGCAUUUACUACAAUGGUAGGGACAGACGGAUGCAAGCUGGAGACCCUAAACCAAUCCCAGAAACCCUAUCCCAGUCCGGAUUGGAGUCUGCAACUCGACUCCAUGAAGUCGGAAUCGCUAGUAAUCGCAGAUCCCCAUUGCUGCGGAACCAGGUUCCCGGGCCUCCAACACAAGGCCUGUCACACCAGGGGACUUUGUUGCACCAGAAGCAAGGAGUUUAUCAUUCGGGAGGGCGCUUGUCCAAUGUGUCGCCAGAUGCUGCGUCCCGUGUCGUUACGAGUCGU
Molecule: ribosomal RNA, 918 nt
Filed under: Stenotrophomonas sp. MQ-2011-M37
Lineage: Bacteria; Pseudomonadati; Pseudomonadota; Gammaproteobacteria; Lysobacterales; Lysobacteraceae
Description: bacterial SSU rRNA
Rfam family: Bacterial small subunit ribosomal RNA
Source: RNAcentral